GGAAGAUGGUGGCUGAACCAGCUUGGGAGCUGUGGGAUGGGAAGAAGUGGACAGCAGGGGCUGUUCCGGGGCAUACCUGCUAAGGGUGCGGAGGGUUGUGGCUCUGACAGCUGUGGAGCCGGUGGGACCAGGGCACACAGCCCCAGGCAUGAGGGGCAGGCAGAGAGGGCUCUGUGGCCAUGUAGGGGCAUUUCUGGCUGGCGGGGAGGUCUGUGGCUACCACUGGGACAAAAGAGAAGCCAGCCCGGAGGUCAGCCCACUGCUGCUCAUCCCCGGCCCACAGGCAGAAGCUUCAUGAGGCAGAUCUGGAGUUGCAGAGGAAGCGGGAGUACAUUGAGGAGCUGGAGCCACCCACUGACAGCAGCACAGCCCGGCGGAUCGAGGAGCUGCAGCAUAACUUGCAGAAGAAGGACGCGGACUUGCGGGCCAUGGAGGAGCGAUACCGCCGCUACGUGGACAAGGCCCGCAUGGUCAUGCAGACCAUGGAACCCAAGCAGCGGCCAGCUGCGGGGGCACCUCCAGAACUCCAUUCCCUGAGGACACAGCUC
RNAcentral lists this long non-coding RNA (548 nucleotides) under Homo sapiens (human). RNAcentral describes it as "non-protein coding lnc-TRIR-1:2". Lineage: Eukaryota; Metazoa; Chordata; Mammalia; Primates; Hominidae. The record is from RNAcentral.